AUACAGAGGGCUCGAGCGUUAAUCGGAAUCACUGGGCUUAAAGGGUGCGUAGGCGGGCUUGUAAGUGCCUUGUGAAAUCCCACGGCUCAACCGUGGAACUGCUCGGUAAACUACAAGCCUUGAAGUCGGUAGAGGCUGUCGGAACUCUAGGUGUAGCGGUGAAAUGCGUAGAUAUCUAGAGGAACGCCCAAGGUGAAGACAGGCAGCUGGGCCGAAUCUGACGCUGAGGCGCGAAAGCGUGGGGAGCAAACAGGAUUAGAAACCCCAGUAGUCC
RNAcentral lists this ribosomal RNA (274 nucleotides) under uncultured bacterium. Its description in RNAcentral is "partial 16S ribosomal RNA". It matches the Rfam family "Bacterial small subunit ribosomal RNA", at positions 523 to 796 of the family's 1533-position model. The record is from RNAcentral.